GGAAACAUGGAAUGACUUUUCAUAGGUUUCCCAGAGACUAUGGGUUGAGGAGGAAUUGGAAGUUUGUCGGCUUAGACCUGGUGUCAUUCCAUCAGUGUUAAACUUCCCGGCUCAUCUUGGAAGAGUACGUGCCAGAAAGACCACGACCAAGCAGCCUUGAGAUCUUAGACAGCGUCUCCCUCAGACCAAAGAACUACAGACUCUUCACAACCUGCUCAAACUCUUGGUACAGGACCUCACCACACGGGUCAAGAAGGUUUCUGUCUCAUUUCUACUCUGAAGCUCACCUUCUCCUGCUCAAACUGCUGACAAAUGUUUCUGCUGCUCUAAAGUCUGGUCUCCAGAACUUCCUAAAAACUCUCAAAGUCUCUUCUGCUGCAGGUUGCUUUGUAGAACUGUUCCAGAAAACCUCACUAAACCACAUGGAGGAGCCUCAAGAUAGUCGUCCAAAUGAAACCUUACAAAAACCAAACUAGUACAACCCAAACGCUAAAGUCUCCUGCAGCCUACCAGAGAACCUCUGAGAACAGAGAAUCAGGACAGGAACUCUUACCUUCUGGACAACCAAUGCUGGUUCACUAACAAGAAUACAGAAUGUGUCUGACCAAAAACCUCUAAAGACUCACUACAGCCAAGAUAAAGACACAACUCAGCUGCACCAAAUCCACUAAUCACUGCACACAUUAGAACCAUGUACUAACUGUGGCUAAAGAACCACAUUUACCAAGACAACUAUCCAGUACAAAGCCCUAAAACACACCAAGAAACACAUUAAAGAUGAUUUUACUGCUGGAAGCUGCAAGCCAACACCUAAAGAACAAACUAAAGCAAUGGAGCCAAACCCGGUUCACUGGUGAAGAGAAGCAGAGCAAAUGUUUGUCUGCAGCUAAAUAAAGCAGGAAGACACUGAGCUGCUCAGGUGUUCCUGAUAACACCAAGCAGCCACCUGGACAGCCAAUAGGAACACAGCUUCCUGGAAGUCCAGAGGGCUGGCUUAGUGAAGGAAAUUUAGUUUAAAGUUGAAGCAGAAAGUUAACAAAGAAAGUUGAAAACCACCUUCUGAUCCCUGAAAUCUCUGAGUUUUCACACAAAGAACACCUGAACAUGUCAAACUGGUUCCAUAGUAGAACCAUCAUUGUAAAAACGUCAUAGUAUGGUGUGUUGCUCAAAAAACAUUAGGACCCGGCUGUCAGGGGACAAACAUGUAAGAAACAUGAGAACAGAGAGAAUCCAACCAGUAGGUCACAGUUUAUCAUCAUCUAAUCAUCUCCUGAAGUCCAUAUGGUGAGAGACAUCAGUAUCUGGUUGUUCAUUUACCAGAGGAUGCUUAUAAUCAUACUGAUGUGGUCUGUACUCUACAGUAUUUUAGUGACUCAAUAAAUCCCUAAGUUGUUUUUUUUAAAUGCUUUUUAGUUUUUAAUAAACAUUUAACAGCCUAUAUGUAAUCAAUAAAUGGCCUUUGCCUAUAUUAAGAAAAAUUCACUCAGAACUCUGAUAUGUUAACAGUACUAAAUAAAUCAAUAAAUACAUGCAUACACACAUAAAUAAGUUAAUACAUUAACUGUGUUAAGAUAAGAUUUAGAUUUUUAAGAAAGUUGUUUAUGUUUUUGCAGAAUCCAGUAUUGCUCACUGGUUGCUCAUUACAUUUUGUUAGUUUGAUUUCACUGUUUAAAAUGAUGCCACCUCUUUUCAGACAGAACCUGUGAUAAUAAAACAAUACAAAAUUUUUAGCUCCGUGUUAAUAAAGCACUUAAAGGUUUAAGUAUGGCUAAAUGCUUUUUUCAAAAUUAAAUAUAUCACUCCUUAGGUGGUAGUGGCCCCAAGUUCAGUAAAGUUGGAAAGAUAUUCACAGAUUGGGACUUCCAGCAUCAAUAACUCGUUAGAUAUAGGUUGUCAAAACAUAAACGGUGCCUCUUUCCCAUUGUUGCAAGGCAGACAAUGUGCUACAAGUCCAGUUUUAUCAAAAGUAGCUGUCUUUCAAGCUACAGGAAUAACAUUGGUGUCUAUGGAGUGAACAGGAUCCGUCUGCAAUUUGCAAAACCGCUGCAACAGUAAAGAGAGACAAAUAUUCAAUAACUUCACUCUUAUACAUUGUAGUGUCACUAAAAUCACUGCAGCCUUCAACUGGCUCCUGUUGACAAAGUGUUUUAACAGAAAUGUAAAUGCUGUAAUUUGAUUCUUUUAAUGAACCAUGUAACUUGAAUGGAUGUGAUGCUGGUGUGACCACAGUGCACACGUCUGAUGUUGCUCACAGUGGUCCAAGGGACGCUCAGGGAGUUUGUGUGUUUGCUCAGACUCAGGAAAAAUUACAGGGAACAUUGAUGGGGAUCACAGCAAAAUAUCAAAGCAAUAAUUAAAACACACAUCUAUCUAUUUAUACUGCUCAUAGCAUUGUGUCAGCAUUACUACUGCAGACGUGGACUUCCUCAAAUGAACAAGGAAUGCCUCACCCCGCUAAGUGAAGGCUGAAAAAAGACACAGCAUGAGUAUGGAUCACAAAAACAGAAAAACACUUGUUGACUGCCAUCCUGAGAUGCUUCCCCCGCAACAACUUCACUCUAUAAACCUCUCUUUCCUUUUUUGAACUGCAGCUUUGCAAGUUAAAUAGCGCCAAAACAUAAUCAAACUCUGUGAUAAUGCACUUAUUUAACAUGUUACAGUCGUUUGGUUGGUUUUUCCACCAUGAUGAAUAUCACAUCUUGAGAUUCAGCAAUUAUAAAGCUGUUAUCUUGAUAUUUUAUCCACUUCUUGGCCAUCUUGAUGCAAAACUGAGGUUGAGGUGGAGCUGCAGGGAGGGGGUUAGCUGCUAUCAAAUGAGGGGAAAAUGUGACUCCAUACAUAUUUAUAUGUUGUGUCCUUAUCUGACUUGCAAACGCUUCCCACGCAUGCAUUCAGGAGUAGUUUUACUUCGAGCUGUGUGCUGUCACUGAGGCUAAGCUAGCUGCUGCGGGAUGGUCAGUAAAUCCUUCCAAAUUUAGAGCUGCCUGACUCUGUUAAAAUGCAUUGUCUCUGCUUCUGUUUGGAGUUGUUUAAAGGCACCCGCACAGCUAGUAAAGGUAAUGAGUAAAACAAUGGGUCGCUCAUGAAUAAUUAGCAAAGGAACAUAUUGACUUCUUAUUACAUUCCGAGUAAUUGAUUGCAGUUUCCAGGUCGCUUGCCUUAACACACAUGCAAUCGCAUGGCACCCAUCCACACCUCCACUCCCAGCCUCCCCUUUCGCACUGUGGUUUUCUCAGCAGUGAGGAGCUCGCGUUGUGAAAUUGCCUCUUCCUCGGGGAGCUAUUCAAUCACUCCAGGCUCCAGCCCACAACAAAACGGGCCGUCCACCCGGGGAGGAAAACUAAUGUGCGAUGCUGCCUGUUUGCCAUGGAGGCCGGGGGAGAGAAAAAUCUCCCUUUCGGAGACAAUAAAUGGGCUGCUUCCCGGGUUAUGGGUGCUCCAAUGACUUGAUUAACUUCACAAGGACAAAAUGAAACUUUUUGCUGACCAAUUUAUGUGAUUGGUGGUGAGCCAAAUGACGAGUUAGAGGAGUGAUGAGUUUCAGGGCACCACUCAUCUCUUCAAACGAGACUUGUGGAUUAAAUCAAAUGGAGGACAUGCAUAGGAAUAACCGACUACCACUUUGGGAGGCCGUGUGUGCAGACAACUCGACUUAGUGUCUUCAUUAGAUGGGACUGUCUGAAAAACACAGCUGAUUGGCCCUGUGUGCUCUCGCAUAGUGGCCUUGUCAUUAAUUAUGGAUACGCUUGCUGGUGAUGCCACACCGUGUCCGACUGACCAGAGCUGAGAUAAUGACAGCUGAGGUCAAAAUAUCAAGCUCUACCUGCCCACAUUUGUAUUCCGGUCACUUACUCGGGGCCAGGCUCACAGGCAUAAAACUAAUAAAUGUAUAGAGCAGUGUAAUAUUUAUCCAGCAGUCAGUGUAUGUGUGUGUUUUCUAUCUUUCUUUCUGUUUGAGCAGGGAUUAACAUCUGUAACAUGUGAGCAUGCAUGAUCUGUUUUGAAAUUAAAUUACAGCAGCUUACUUUGGCAGGAAAUAGGAGCUGACUGACUGAAGUAAAAAUGACAGCAGAAUCUGUGACCGAAAAGCAAUCUUUACCUUGUCAGACAAAUGUAUGAAAGGAGGCAUUCAGAAGACCUCAAUUUAACCCAGACUUCUGGCAAUUUCGAAGCCGAGGCAGACCUCUACAUGUGUUACCUGAAAACUUUGCAAUCUCACGCGACCUUUCAGUUGGCCUUUGAUUAAAAGUUUUAGAAGCCUCGCAAGCUUAAGAUGCACACCUGUUUUUUUUUUUUUUAAUCUCCUUUUGCUUUAUUUGACACCGAAAAUAACCAAAGAAAUCAAUCUGCGGCUCUAAAUAAUAGUUAGCUUCAUAGACAGAUUCAGAAGUAUUCUAUUCCACUUGCAUGUUGAAUGCUGAUUAAUCUGCCUUGACCAAGAGGCGGCUCACAUAAGCGGCUGCUGUGAUCUUAAAUGAAUGAUGACUCACAGUCUGGCUUUUUUUCUCGCCUUGCCGGUUAAUGGAAAAAAGUGCAAUUAGUGCGACCCUACAUGCAUGCAAAUGGUGUCCGAGCAUUUAGCUCAUUGUGGCAAAUUGAGUAGCUUUCUAACUUGUUCCAGGACCUGACACUGAAACAAGCCCCCGGUGAGAGUUUUAAUUUUGUGGCAAAGACAAUUAAAUGAUUUUAGUACUUUUAUCUACUCAGCGCUUUGGACAAAGUUCUAUUAAUCAUUUAGCUUCAGUUCAUUUACAGUAUGUGCAUUUUGUUUCAAUUAAUCAAACCCGCUCCUCGUUUACAAUGCUCUGCAAUGUUCAGGUGGAAGUUUUGUUUUAGUUCCCAGAAUGUUUUCCUUUUAGGAAGGAAAAGUGAAGAAAAAUGUUAAAACAUAACAUUGUUACACUGUUAUGUUUUAACAUUUUUCCUGAAUUUCCCUCGGGAUUAAUAAAGUAUCUAUCUAUCUAUCUAUCUAUCUAUCUAUCUAUCAUUGUGGAAUAUUGUGGAAAUGUUUUAUAGAUUCUUUAAUGUGUUCCUCGACAGCAUCCACCAAACAUCUUCAGAACACUGUGACAAAAAACGAAAUGUUCCACCUUUUAUAUAUCACAUUGAAGGAGCUUUGCAACACAUUCUGUAUUGUGCCAUCAGAGGUCUCAAUAACACCUGGAAAACAUUUUUCAGUGUUGAUUUGAAAACCGUACUUUGUUAUCAUAGAGCAUUGUGAGAAUGUUCUAUGGAAUCUCUUUACAGAUUCUAGUUCAGGUUCCCUUAGCAACAUCCAUAAAACGUCCUCAGAUUGAUUGCAACAAGAAUGUUCCACCUUUGUUAACAAUAAAGUAACAUCUUAUAAAGCAAGUUCUAUCAUCCGAGGUCUCAAUAACAGCUUAAAAACGUUCAUUUGAAUGUUGCAUUGAGAACAUACUUACUAAAUACUGAAUGUUCCACCUUUAAUAUAUCGCUUUAUAGGAGUAUUAUAAAACAUUCUCUAAUCAGGGGCCUUGAUAACGUCAUGAUUUGAAUGUUGGUUCUAAAACAUUCUUCUUUUGCUAUCAUAGAAUCUGUAAGAAUUUUCCUUUAAUAUGUUCCCUUCCUCAGACCAUUGCAGACAAUAUGAACCAACUUUGUUAAUGUAUCACAUAACAAAAACAUUUUAUUAAAAUCAUCUGAGGCCCUGACCACAUCUGGAGAACAUUUUUUGCAUUUUGGUUUGGAAACAUUUUUUUUUUGGCAUCAUGGAACAUUGAGACAAUAUUUUAUACAACAACAUUCUGUAAUGUUUACAGUAAAUAUUCUCACACGGUUCUUUAUCAACAAAAGAAAGAGGAAGAAGGAAGAAUGUUCUCAAGCUAACAUUCAAAAAAUGUUUUCCAGAUGAUAUCGAGGCCUCGGAUGAUUUAUAUAAAACAUUCUUGAAUGUGACAUAUUAACAAAAGUGGAACAUUCUGUCUACAAUGUUCUAGAGAUGUUUUGGGGAUGUUGUUGAGGGAACAUAUUAUAGAAUGUUCUUCUGUAAAAUAUUCUAACAAUGUUGUAUGACAACCAAGGAAGAACAUUCUGAAGCCAACAUUCAAAAAAUGUUUUCUAGGUUUUAUCAAGGCCUCAGAUGAUUUUUGUAAAAUGUUCCUGUAAUGUGAUUUAUUAGCAAACAUUGUUCAUGCUGUCUGUUGUACUCUAGAGACAUUUCAAGGGUUGUUGUUGAGAACAUUCUUCCUUCUUCCUCAUAGAACAUUGAGAGUAUGUUUUAUAGAAGAAUAUUCUAUAUUGUGUCCCCUCUUCCUUAGAACAUUGCAGACACCUUUAAUAUACCACACUGAAGAACGUUUUAGAAAAAUCAUCUAAGGCCUCAACAACAUCUGGAAAACAUUAUUUGAAUGCUAUUUUGAGAACGUUCCUCAUUUGUUAUCAUAGAACGUCUGCUGUUCUUAAUGUUGAUGAUGAAACAUAUUAACUUGAACAUCUUCUUAAAACAUUUGAUUAAAACAUUUUCUUCUUCUGAGAGCUCAUAGGUAACAUUCGCCGAUGUUUUUGGAACGUUCCCUGCCAGAUGGGAACUUGCUGCUCGGUGCUAUCAGGAUGACGACAUGGAAGUCUGUUUGGUGGCGAUUAGGAAGCUUUGCCAUUUAUCCACCUCCUCAGUCCCACCCUCCUUGUCAGCGAGUCGUGACCUAAAGGUAGUAACGAGUGUUGAGUCUGGAAGUGGCUGCCUCCACAGACGGCAGGGUACCAACGCUUCCUCUGCAUCGCUGGGACUAAAGAGCAAAGUUCCCUCAAAGGCCAGUCAGCUGUCCUUUUCCUCUGGGACGGUUUGCAGUGGGAGUCUGUUAGGAAAGAGCAAAACUUCCACCAAAACCAACGACAUCAUGGUGUCUUCUGUAAACAUGGCAGCCACAAAAAGAACAAUACUGUCUGUGAAUGUAGUGUCUGUUCUCCUUCCUGUACAUUACUAGCUCCGAUGACAAUAGAGGCAGGCUUCUGUAAAAGCUCCAACAGUAACAGGAGUCUCCUUCUUCUUAGUUUAAGCCAGAAUGGUAUGUUGGACAUCAUUCUUAGCAGCAAGUAGAUCCAGAAACUCUGUCUGAACCUUUUCCAGUGAUUUUGUUGUUGAUCACAUGCUGUAAGAGGAGCUGCUGAAAAUAUUCGUUGACAUGGUUUUGUCUCUAACUGUCUUUUGUGCCAGGAAAAAUAAGAGGAAAUAAGUUAUAGAUGCUUUCCUAAAAUGGUCACUGAGAUCAAAAAAUGAGUUGAAAGUAUCACACGUUUAAUUUUUUCAAGUGUUUUUCCCAGAUCCAAAUGAUAAGCUACCAGGUAGUGGGGUUGGGUAAUACUGUUAGACCUUCUUUUUUCUUUCUUUCUUUCUUUUUUUUUUUUAAAUAAAAGCUAUCAUUUAUGUCAUUAAGGAUAAUUGCAGAUGAUUUCUAAUGACCUGUUUUUAAUAAAGAGCAGGGGGAAAGUGUUGUAAUUUGAAUUUAGCCACUUUAGUCUACACAGGCAAUAAUUUAAUUGGUAACACAGCAAUGAAACACAUAAACAAAUAAACACAUUUCCAUAUCCUAAUUAAAAUGACUAAAGAUAGAGGAGUCAUAUUACAUAUUAAAUAAAGAGCACGUUAAAAGCCA
Molecule: long non-coding RNA, 7613 nt
Organism: Amphiprion ocellaris (clown anemonefish)
Lineage: Eukaryota; Metazoa; Chordata; Actinopteri; Pomacentridae
Exons: 3
Source: RefSeq, a predicted model, not a curated record